CAUCUCUUCAUCUCUCAUCUCUUCUUCUACUUCUUCGGUCGGCCCUCACAGUUCAAUCGACUUCUUCAUCUCUCAUAAUAUUCAAUCGAUUUCUUCAUCUCAUCUCAUCUCUUCACGGUCGGCCACUCAUGAUUUUCGUUCAACCAACGACGAUGUCGCUUCCAUCUCUGUCUGUCGUCUCUCUGUUCAUUGCGCGAUAAUCGAUUGUCUCUCUGUUCAUACAAGCUAAGGGAACUCAUCGUCAUCCAAUGCACUUGAAGCCUAAUGAUUCGAGGUGUUUUGCAUUAGAGGCGCAAGGAAUAUUGCUUAAGUCGCGUUACGUGCAGCAGACGAAUUGAGGACGCAUACGAGGCAGAGCAUAACAUGUGACCCUUAAUUUCGUCAAAAAUAAGCAAUUCAAGAAAAUUUGUUUAUUAGUCGUGUUUUCUUAUAGGAAAAUAAGUUAUUCAAUAAUAUUGAUCGAAUUAUGUAGAUAUUGUUGUAAAAUAUUCAUAGUUGCUAAUUUUUUGCUGAAAUUAAAAGUAGGGAUUAUCUUCGCUGGAGUUAGUUGUCAAAGGUGAUCAUCGACAAAUGGAAUCAUUGGAAAUGUUGGAGGGAGAGAAUUGUCUUUGUUCUAUUCAAAAUUCUAAUUUAUUUGAUUAGUGAAUCAUAUUUUGAUUUGUGAUUCAUACUCCAUGAUCUAUAAUUCAUAUUACUUUUACUCA
Cucumis melo (muskmelon) is the source of this 704-nucleotide long non-coding RNA. RefSeq lists it as uncharacterized. NCBI's taxonomy places the organism in Eukaryota, Viridiplantae, Streptophyta, Magnoliopsida, Cucurbitales, Cucurbitaceae. The transcript has 2 exons. The record is from RefSeq and is a predicted model, not a curated record.